This 629-nucleotide ribosomal RNA is filed under the name uncultured Geobacteraceae bacterium. RNAcentral's name for it is "partial 16S ribosomal RNA". The stretch from base 1 to 557 matches the Rfam family "Bacterial small subunit ribosomal RNA", at positions 9 to 546 of the family's 1533-position model. Lineage: Bacteria; Pseudomonadati; Thermodesulfobacteriota; Desulfuromonadia; Geobacterales; Geobacteraceae. The record is from RNAcentral.
GAGUUUGAUCCUGGCUCAGAACGAACGCUGGCGGCGUGCCUAACACAUGCAAGUCGAACGUGAUUAGAGAGCUUGCUCUUUAUGAAAGUGGCGCACGGGUGAGUAACGCGUAGAUAAUCUACCUGAUGAUCCGGGAUAACACUUCGAAAGGGGUGCUAAUACCUGAUAAGCUCACGGAGUCUUCGGACUCUGCGGGAAAAGGGGGGGACCUUUAUCGGCCUUCCGUCAUCAGAUGAGUYUGCGUACCAUUAGCUAGUUGGUAGGGUAAAGGCCUACCAAGGCGACGAUGGUUAGCUGGUCUGAGAGGAUGAUCAGCCACACUGGAACUGAGACACGGUCCAGACUCCUACGGGAGGCAGCAGUGGGGAAUUUUGCGCAAUGGGGGAAACCCUGACGCAGCAACGCCGCGUGAGUGAUGAAGGCCCUUGGGUCGUAAAGCUCUGACAGAGGGAAAGAAGUGUAGAGUGGCUAAUAUCCACAUUACUUGACGGUACCCUCAAAKGAAGCACCGGCUAACUCCGUGCCAGCAGCCGCGGUAAUWCAAGSRCGCAUUGGACACASUCCGUCCAGAGMGGCCUYCMCWGGCYGUKUUUCRCCAAUGAAACAGCAGGCGGAUGAGCUGGGSYCCC